RNAcentral lists this microRNA precursor (93 nucleotides) under Manihot esculenta (cassava). RNAcentral's name for it is "precursor microRNA miR397a". It matches the Rfam family "MIR397 microRNA precursor family". The record is from RNAcentral. Lineage: Eukaryota; Viridiplantae; Streptophyta; Magnoliopsida; Malpighiales; Euphorbiaceae.
GAGAAACAUCAUUGAGUGCAGCGUUGAUGAAUUCCCUGCAAUUUUCUGGAAUUUGGGGAUGAUUUCACCAGCGCUGCAUUCAAUCAUGUUUUU